CAAGCAGUCAUACCUCUCUGUUUAGACUGUCCACAGAUGCCAUCUCUACAAGGAAUAAGGACUUCCUCACUAUCACUACUUGGCUGACUUCGCUGGGCCAACAGAACCGGGAGCCAAAGGAGCGGCGCAGGGAGCGCCUCAGGGCGGGCAGAUGAAAGGAACGCGGGCGGCAGCAACGAGACCCGGCCGGGCGAGGGGGCCUCGCGGAGCAGCGCAGCACCUCGGGCACGCAGGGCUGCGGCAGGCCGGGCAGAACCAGCCGAGCCGGGCGGAGGAGCCGCGCUGCCACCCCGGGGGCCCUUUUGAGGCUUCUCCCGACUCCCGCAGCAGCAUCCCUCACCUUAUCGCCCUCCAUGGCGGGGCGGUACGUCCCACCCUACGCCACCGGCCGCCUCCCGGAGGGCACGAAGGCCCGGUGGCCGCGUCCGGGCCUGCCUAGCAACGGGCGGCGGGCGAGGACCCGCCUCGGUAGCGCCGCGCGGGGUUGUGGGAACGGGAAUGGCAGUGUUGAGAGGGGCGGGAGCGCCGUGUGCGCGCCUGGGCCGUGGCGGAGGCGGGAGGCGUUCCUCCCUGAGUUGGGUUUCCUCAGGCGGUCUGAGGGCCAGGGGAGGGGUCGGCUCUGUACUGCUCCGCGUUGUUCUGUUCGCUGUUGACCUUCUAUAGGCUGAGAACCGUGAAACCGUUCCUAAGCGUAGAGAAUUCUCUUUUAGUGAAGUUAUCCGCGGUUACUGUACGAAGAAAAACGCUGACUGUGAUACGCUGCGUCACGCAUAAAAUAGACGUAUAAAAACGGUGAUAACGUUCCCCCAAGCACCAGAGCUGUUCUGUCCCACACAGCCGGUGGCAGGCUGCCCAGCACACGUGAGGCGAGGCAGGCGCUGGUGGCCUGCGGGCAGGGAGCGGGCUGUUCUCACAGCGCGUAUUUA
Molecule: long non-coding RNA, 926 nt
Filed under: Gallus gallus (chicken)
Lineage: Eukaryota; Metazoa; Chordata; Aves; Galliformes; Phasianidae
Description: long non-coding RNA NONGGAT003714
Source: RNAcentral